AUUGAACGCUGGCGGCAGGCCUAACACAUGCAAGUCGAGCGAGCGGCGGACGGGUGAGUAAUGUCUGGGAAACUGCCUGCUGGAGGGGGAUAACUCCUGGAAACGGUAGCUAAUACCGCAUACCAUCAGAUGUGCCCAGAUGGGAUUAUCUCGUAGGUGGGGUAACGGCUCCCCUAGGCGACGAUCCCUAGCUGGUCUGAGAGGAUGACCAGCCACACUGGAACUGAGACACGGUCCAGAGUCCUACGGGAGGCAGCAGUGGGGAAUAUUGCACAAUGGGCGCAAGCCUGAUGCAGCCAUGCCGCGUGUGUGAAGAAGGCCUUCGGGUUGUAAAGCACUUUCAGCGGGGAGGCGUUACCCGCAGAAGAAGCACCGACUAACUCCGUGCCAGCAGCCGCGGUAAUUC
This 406-nucleotide ribosomal RNA is filed under the name uncultured bacterium. Its description in RNAcentral is "partial 16S ribosomal RNA". It matches the Rfam family "Bacterial small subunit ribosomal RNA", at positions 30 to 526 of the family's 1533-position model. The record is from RNAcentral.